This 465-nucleotide ribosomal RNA is filed under the name Vreelandella stevensii. RNAcentral's name for it is "partial 16S ribosomal RNA". It matches the Rfam family "Bacterial small subunit ribosomal RNA", at positions 338 to 795 of the family's 1533-position model. The record is from RNAcentral. Lineage: Bacteria; Pseudomonadati; Pseudomonadota; Gammaproteobacteria; Oceanospirillales; Halomonadaceae.
CCUACGGGGGGCUGCAGUGGGGAAUAUUGGACAAUGGGGGCAACCCUGAUCCAGUCAUGCCGCGUGUGUGAAGAAGGCCCUCGGGUUGUAAAGCACUUUCAGUGAGGAAGAACGCCUGGUGGUUAAUACCCAUCAGGAAAGACAUCACUCACAGAAGAAGCACCGGCUAACUCCGUGCCAGCAGCCGCGGUAAUACGGAGGGUGCGAGCGUUAAUCGGAAUUACUGGGCGUAAAGCGCGCGUAGGUGGCUUGAUAAGCCGGUUGUGAAAGCCCCGGGCUCAACCUGGGAACGGCAUCCGGAACUGUCAAGCUAGAGUGCAGGAGAGGAAGGUAGAAUUCCCGGUGUAGCGGUGAAAUGCGUAGAGAUCGGGAGGAAUACCAGUGGCGAAGGCGGCCUUCUGGACUGACACUGACACUGAGGUGCGAAAGCGUGGGUAGCAAACAGGAUUAGAUACCCCUGUAGUC